This 163-nucleotide ribosomal RNA is filed under the name uncultured Geobacillus sp. RNAcentral's name for it is "partial 16S ribosomal RNA". It matches the Rfam family "Bacterial small subunit ribosomal RNA", at positions 1225 to 1382 of the family's 1533-position model. Lineage: Bacteria; Bacillati; Bacillota; Bacilli; Caryophanales; Anoxybacillaceae. The record is from RNAcentral.
UAACAAGUGGGGCCGGUAACGAAAGGCUGACCGACCCGCGAGGGGGAGCGAAUCCCAAAAAGCCGCUCUCAGUUCGGAUUGCAGGCUGCAACUCGCCUGCAUGAAGCCGGAAUCGCUAGUAAUCGCGGAUCAGCAUGCCGCGGUGAAUACGUUCCCGGGCCUU